Drosophila willistoni is the source of this 1131-nucleotide long non-coding RNA. RefSeq lists it as uncharacterized. The transcript has 3 exons. Lineage: Eukaryota; Metazoa; Arthropoda; Insecta; Diptera; Drosophilidae. The record is from RefSeq and is a predicted model, not a curated record.
GUUUACUUCUGAAAAUCAAAAAAGGAGAAAAACAAAAGUGAAAAUAUGUUAACUGUUAAAUUAAUCAUGCAAUCCGGAAAACAAUUGGUUAUGAAGCUCCCAAUCACAGCUACCGUUUACGAGCUUAAGACUGAGCUUCAGAGUUUUCUCAAUAUAGUAGCCGGAAACAUGUGAAAUUUCUGCUUCUGAUGUAACGUUGGCCGAUUCAGAUCUCAGAGCAGAAGUUGCUGGUCUAGGCAACAAGAAACAAAUUAAGCCGGUUGUAUCUUGCUAUGAAGGCAACAAUUUUGUGUGAUUGAUACUAUUUUCUCUCGAAGCCGAGGAUAUCGACAAUUCGGUGUCAGACCCAAGUAUUGAAGUUGUGCCGCUCGAAGGAAGCGAAUCUUCCGUCAGUGAGCUAUCUUCAGGAUCCAGUAGCGAAUGAGUACAGCCAUCCACGAUUGAUUGCAAACGUGGUAUUAAACGAAAAGGCCAGGGACAUGGAAAACCCAUAGAGACUAAACGGUUCAAAAAGGUUCUCGAAUCGUGUGAGGAGAGUGUAGAAAGCCCCUCGUAUGGAUUUAAGGAGGAGGCAUGCGGUAUGGGAGGCUGCGGAAUUAAAUCCAGACCAUUCUUGGUUAAAUCUGAAAUCGAAAUGGAACCCGAUGUUAUAAAUGGUCAGCGGCCCCUUUACGUUAACAUACUCCCAGAGAACAGUCUGUUUGUUGUGGUCGUUUCGUCCUCAGCGAUCUGUUGGAAGAGUUCUUUGGGAUAUUUUUGAUUUCAGGAAAGUUCGCUGUUUAAAUUUUAACGAGGUGACUCCGGUAACAGUACAAUUUCAAGCUCCUGGAACUGCAGAACUCUGAUAUUACGACGAAGUGGGCUGUGGUGAGCCGUGAUGAUGGUACCCCCUAUAUUGACGGAUAUUUGCCCCAAUGAACAGGUUGAGAUCUGGAUGGAUGCGGACAGUGUGGAUAUCAUCAAGGAGAGAUGCAACCGCCUCAAACUAUGUUUUUGGAUGAUCAAAUUAUAUAUUUUUAUUUUAUGCAAUUUAUAUUUUGAAAUGUUAAAAAGGUUAAAAUUGCGGCAGACUUAUUUGUCUACCGACUAUUCUGACUGGCAACGGUCAAACGAUAGUUUAUCUUAAUAGAA